This 1163-nucleotide ribosomal RNA is filed under the name Ancyrona sp. NLG-2013. Its description in RNAcentral is "partial 16S ribosomal RNA". The record is from RNAcentral. Lineage: Eukaryota; Metazoa; Arthropoda; Insecta; Coleoptera; Lophocateridae.
GAAUUAAUUUUUUUAUUAAUUUUAUUAGUAUAUUUAUUUUAUUUUUAAAUUAUUAAUAAUUUUAUUAUUGUAAUAGAAAAAAUUUUUUUAAUAAUAGUGGAUUAGUACAGUGAUGGAAUAUAAAAUAAAUUUUAUAAAGAAAAAUUAAAUUUUUGUACCUUGUGUAUCAGGGUUGAUUUAUUAAAAUUUAUAUAUAUAAUUUUCUCGAAUUUUAAAGAUUUAAUUAAAUAAUUAUUUUAUUGUUUUAUAAAUAUUUAAAAUAUUUAAUUAGUAAUGAAACGUUAUUCGUUUUAAAAUAUAUCUAGUUUUUCAAGAAAUUAAUUUAAUUAACUUCUUUUUUUUAAUUAUUCAUUUUUGAAAUAUUUAAAUAAAAAGAUUAAAUUUAUAAUGGGAUAAGCUUUUAUAAAUAUUUAUAUAACUUUUAUUUUUAUUUAUAGGUAAUAGGAUUAGAAUUUUCAAUUUUUAUAGGAUGUAAUAUUUAACUAUAUUUUUAUUAAAAUUUUUAUUUGGUUUAUAUAAUUUAUUGAAAUAUAAUUUUUAAUUUUAUAAAAUUAGUGAUAAUGAUUAAAUUAGUAUAAAAAAAUUUUUAAUGUAAUAAAUAUUGUAAGGCAUUAAUAAGGAACUCGGCAAAUUAAUUUUUCACCUGUUUAUUAAAAACAUGUCCUUUUGAUUAUAAUUUAAGGUCUGAUCUGCCCACUGAUUAAUUGAAUGGCCGCGGUAUUUUGACCGUGCAAAGGUAGCAUAAUAAUUAGUUUUUUAAUUGAAGACUGGAAUGAAUGAUUUGAUGAGAAAAUUACUGUCUCAUUAAUGAUAAUUUAGAAGUUAACUUUUAAGUAAAAAGGCUUAAAUUUAAAUAAAAGACGAGAAGACCCUAUAGAGUUUAAUAGUUUAUUAAUAUAUUUAUUUUGUUUUAGUUAAAUAUAUUAAGAUAUCUAUUUUGUUGGGGUGACAGAAAAAUUUAUAAAACUUUUUCUUUUAAAAUUCACUGAUUUGUGUUUUUUUGAUCCAUUUUUAAUGAAAAAAGAAUAAAUUACCUUAGGGAUAACAGCGUUAUCUUUUUUAGAGUUCUUAUCGAAUUAAAGGAUUGCGACCUCGAUGUUGGAUUAAAGUUAAAUUUUGGUGUAGCUGCUGGAAAUUUAGGUCUGUUCGACCUUUAAAACUUU